This 299-nucleotide long non-coding RNA is filed under the name Olea europaea (common olive). Its description in RNAcentral is "long non-coding RNA (OEUR_LNC008729)". Lineage: Eukaryota; Viridiplantae; Streptophyta; Magnoliopsida; Lamiales; Oleaceae. The record is from RNAcentral.
UUUGCUACACAGAACGAAGCUUUAGAAGGGGUAAUCUAAAGUGGCCAGUUCUUUUUGACGAUUUUGAACUGCUAAUCCCAUCCAGUCAUGCCUGUCCAUCACAAAAGCAUGUAUAUUGAUUUUUGUCAGAUGACAGAAGGCUUAGAUUUUGUUGUGUUUCAAAGUUUCAUGGUGUAGCUAUCUUCAAAUCCACAUGUAUUGAAUGCUACGAAUCAGUAUAUCCGCAUUCCAUUCUGCUUGAGAUUCUCCGGUGGCUUGAACUUGAGUGGAAUAGUAUUUUUAUUUUUAUUUUAAAAAAA